AUAUCUUCUUGGCCUUUUGGCUAAGACCAAGUGUAGACAUUAAUAAUAUUGCUAUUUUAAUAAUUUUUUUUUUUUUUUUUGGGGAUGGAGUCUCGCUGUGUUGCCCAGGCUGGAGUGCGGUGGCGCGAUCUCGGCUCACUGCAAGCUCCGCCUCCCA
This 157-nucleotide small nuclear RNA is filed under the name Pan troglodytes (chimpanzee). RNAcentral's name for it is "U2 spliceosomal RNA". It matches the Rfam family "U2 spliceosomal RNA". Rfam says of the family: U2 is a small nuclear RNA (snRNA) component of the spliceosome (involved in pre-mRNA splicing). Lineage: Eukaryota; Metazoa; Chordata; Mammalia; Primates; Hominidae. The record is from Rfam by way of RNAcentral.